ACCAUAUAACCAUAUAACAAUUACAGCACGGAAACAGGCCAUCUCGGCCCUACAAGUCCAUGCCGAACAAAUUUUGUUCCCCUUAGUCCCACCUGCCUGCACUCGUACCAUAACCCUCCAUUCCCUUCUCAUCCAUAUGCCUAUCCAAUUUAUUUUUAAAUGAUACCAAUGAACCUGCCUCCACCACUUCCACUGGGAGCUCAUUCCACACCGCCACCACUCUCUGCGUAAAGAAGUUCCCCCUCAUAUUACCCCUAAACUUCUGUCCCUUAAUUCUGAAGUCAUGUCCUCUUGUUUGAAUCUUCCCUAUUCUCAAAGGGAAAAGCUUGUCCACAUGUUCCGACAAAAUUCCGCAUGCAGGGCCUCCGUUGUAUGUUUUUCCCAUUUACUAUAACUAUGGUGACUGAGCGGACCCCAUACUUCACUACCAUAAAGUGCAAUAGGCUGGAUUACACUGUCAAAUAUUUUAAGCCAGAUUUUAAUUGGAAUUUGGAUGUUGUAGAAUCUUCUUUUUAUUGCAGACAGAGCUCUCCGAGCUUUCUCUUUUCGUGCAUUCACUGCCAUAUUGAAGUUCCCUGAUGCUGAAACAGUUAGACCAAAAUGUCUGACAUGAAGUCCUGUUUUGGCACCAAACUGAGGCACGUGAUGGUUGGAUUACCCUUUUCAGAUUUGCCUAUUCUGCUUGGUAAUGGGAAUCUCGCAGUUCUAUGCUACGUUUAAAUCCAUCAUUUAUCCCAUGUGAAGAGGACGGAGCACAGUUAAUCCAAUUUGCUUUUUUGCCUUUUAAAUGUGUUUUAAAAAAAAUAAAUAAUAAUCGACCUCUAAAACUUAAGUAUUUGCUUUAAUGUGAUUGAACAGAUGGUAGACUUGACAAUUUUAAUGUGCAGAGGGAUUAUUGCACUUCUAUUGAUGUACAAAAGGAUAAUCUACCUUAGCCCACCACCUGACUGUGGAAAUUAAAUGGUCAAUCUACACUUAAAA
Leucoraja erinaceus (little skate) is the source of this 981-nucleotide long non-coding RNA. RefSeq lists it as uncharacterized. NCBI's taxonomy places the organism in Eukaryota, Metazoa, Chordata, Chondrichthyes, Rajiformes, Rajidae. The transcript is spliced from 2 exons. The record is from RefSeq and is a predicted model, not a curated record.